Marasmius sp. AFHP31 is the source of this 92-nucleotide non-coding RNA. The record is from the annotation of a GenBank genome assembly. Lineage: Eukaryota; Fungi; Basidiomycota; Agaricomycetes; Agaricales; Marasmiaceae.
UCCGAUGUGGUGUAGUGGCUAACAUUGCUGUCUUUCAUCUCAGACCUGAGAGAACUACACAGCAGCCCGGGGUUCGAUUCCCCGCAUCGGAA